Molecule: ribosomal RNA, 253 nt
Filed under: uncultured bacterium
Lineage: Bacteria
Description: partial 16S ribosomal RNA
Rfam family: Bacterial small subunit ribosomal RNA
Source: RNAcentral
UACGAAGGGGGCUAGCGUUGCUCGGAAUUACUGGGCGUAAAGGGCGCGUAGGCGGAUAGUUUAGUCAGAGGUGAAAGCCCAGGGCUCAACCUUGGAAUUGCCUUUGAUACUGGCUAUCUUGAGUACGGAAGAGGUAUGUGGAACUCCGAGUGUAGAGGUGAAAUUCGUAGAUAUUCGGAAGAACACCAGUGGCGAAGGCGACAUACUGGUCCGUUACUGACGCUGAGGAACGAAAGCGUGGGGAGCGAACAGG